CCGCUCGAAUCAAAGCAGCCCGAGGAAUGCUCUAUGAUUCAAUUCCAGAAAGUAAAACAUAAAUCACAGUGAUGAGAACCCCUACGCUUACAAUUCAUUACAUCCGUUCAGGGUGCCGAGGGGAAAGGCUGAACUCCAAGCCCCAUCCCUGGAGGCAGGACACCAUUGCCGCAGCCCUCUCCCGACUGGCACAGAAGAAGUAUAUUCAGAGCUUAUAGAACCUUCUUAUCACUGCAAACAACAUCAUUCACAAUGACGAAUGACACGGGAAUGCCCUAUGCAUGCACAGGUACAGGAAACACACAUGUCCCGCAAGUGUGCUACACAGGCACACACAUGUUUUGUGCUGUUCUCACUUUCUAAAAAUUUGUUUUGCCCUUUUAUUCUCACCUGAUUCUGACUAAUGCAUUCUUUCUGUGCUUUAUCUGUCUUUGCAAGUGACUCUAAAUCUUUUCUGGAACAAGAUGUUAUAUAGUUAAUAAAUCUCUCUUAAUACAUAUUCAUUACAAGUCAGCCCUCACAAAGCAUGAUUGGAAUGAGACUUAUAAUUCUCUUUUUUUAAAAACCAAAAUCAGUCUUCCAUUAUUUUUUUACGCAAAUACCCAUAAAUGUGGAUAAAUGCAAUCUGUCAUUUCUUUUUUAAGGAAUAAAGAUACCUAUGUUUGCUUAAGGAGUUUAUCCUUUAUUACCAAAAUAGUCUUUCCUUUCCCACUUUAGGUCUCUGGUCCCCAUCACCAGCCCACCAGAUAUUUCAAAAUAAAAUUCAUCUUUGGGCCUAGAGCCAGCUGAAGAAGCGUGAGUUUAAAAAAGCUACUCAAAGUAGGCUUUGUAAUGAAAGAAACAUUUCAAAGAUAAGUAAACAAUGUCCACAAAAUGAAUGCAUGGAUGGAUAGCGAUCAGAAAAAAAAAUUAAAUUACACAAUAAUUUUGUGGGUCAUGAUUUUCUAUAAUAAAUCCUUCUUUUCCAGUUUCUCCAGCAAAUCCCAUGGUAUUCAAAGGGCCCAUAUUUUCAUGUUCCUCAGAUGAGCUUCUGCUGUUGGCUGUUUUUUACACUCUAUAGCCUGGCCUUCCAGGUCCAGCUGUUACGUCAUAUUCCAAACCACCUUUGCUUUCUCUUCUCUACUUUCGUUGCUCUUGGCCUUCCAGAUCUGUGUCCUGACUCUGGAGGAGAGCAAACAAUGGGCAAAGCCUGGCAUGCAGGAGAAGAUGUUGGGAAGUAGGUCUGCCAAUGGGAGAAGCAGGCAUUGCCCUUAUACAUCGCUGCUUGGUCACUGUCAGUGUCAUCUCUGAUCACAGCAGCCCCCAGCUCUGGGACACACAAGGACCCCAAGGUUCCUCAUAACUGAGGUCCACAUUUGUCAGGUUGACAUUUGAGGCUCUUCUGGGUCUGUGUUCUUUCUAUCAUGCUUUUACCCCAUUCUUCCUUCUCUCCCUACCUUGGCCCUUCUAUGUCCCAGCUACCUCAGAAAGUGCAAGGGGCAGAGGAGAUUUCCCAAGCCCUCUUCUCUCACCCACCAAUUUGAGAGUAAACCUGUUCCUUUCAGCAUUUCUUUCAGAGCAUUUGUCUCUAUGUCCAGUUUAGCACUUAGCAUGUUUUAGCCUGCUCAUUUCCAGAAUUCUUGGUAUUUUGUGUAUGUGUGUAUGUGUGUGCAUGUCAUUUCCUUCCUCAUGUCCUUGGAAAUUGGGUGGCAGGGGCUGGGCCGUGUUCACCUUGGUGUUCCUCCACCAUCACAGAAUCCUGUGGUGACUCACACAGAGGAAGCAUAAAAAAAGCUUAUCAAAUAAAUGAGCCAAGAGAGAACACAUGGAAGGAGGAACAAAAGCCACCCAAAAGGAAGAGAGUAAGGGGGCGGCAGAUGGGAGAGAAUCCUGACUGGGAUGGAAUGGUGAAGAACUGCGCUGCAGUAGGGAACCAGACGCUCACCCCGAGAGACCACGGGACUGUGGGAGCUGUGAAGCUUGGAAGGGACAGUUACUUGUUCAGAUGUCUGGCUUCUCUUCAUCUUCCUCCCGUUCACCCCCAUCAACACGUGAUAAAUCAGUGAACAUAUACUUCACUUUACUUGAAUUCCAUACCUUGGAGAUCUCUGAGAAAUAAUGCCUCCCGACAAUGUAAAGUAGUGCCCUCAUUCUUGCACAAGCUAAGAGGAAUAAUAAUUGUCUUGGGAAACUGUCAGGCUAAAGGAUCUAGGAGAAUGCUCUCCAGGCUGAUCUCAGUAACUUGUGUCUCUUCAUUUACAUUACUCCUCUUGGGCCCCCUCUAUCUCUCAGAUUUUUAACCCCUUUCCAAUGGCAAAUACCAGUGGUGUUAUGAGGGUGAGAUGGGGUGAAUGCAGCUGCUGAAUUCAUGUUUUCUUUGUAUUCCUCCCACCUCCUUAAACACACACAACUUAGAAUGCUUAGCGUUUUUCCAUGUGUCAAAGUUUCUUUGUCUCCCUUCUCCAGGACAGAGCAGCUCGCAUGUGCAUCCAGCUUCGAGUCAGUGUGUCAGGGCUCAUCUCACUGAAUUGUGACAGUAUGCUCAUCACACACCAGCCUGUAUGAAGGUAGAGACUUUGUUUUAACUCACUAUUAAAUCUGACCCACCACCACUCUGUCUGGGUUACACAGGCCUACUAAAGAGUUGUUGAGCGAAUACAUACACGAGCGUGAAGGAACAAAUAACAAAACAGAGGAAGUUAUCUCUUCACUUUAGCUUGCCAGAAAUUACUCAGUAUCUCUUACCUUUAGUUUUUGACUUUUGAGAAUCGUUAAAGACUUCGUCUCGGGUGUUGAUUCUCUUAAACAGCAAGCAAAAAUACAAUUUUAUGAAGAUUUAAUGAGACAGCAUCAUUGCCAGCUGAGUUUAUCACUCAGGGAGUUUAACAGAAAAUUUGUUAACAUUGUCUUUAAUUUGUUUAAAUAUUUAUGAACACUGCUUUCGAGGGGAUUCUUAUCUGGGGUUAUUGUUUUAUAGAAUUCAUUUUGGUGUGCUUUCAACCAUUUGGUGGUUCAUCUUACUUUAAUAGAUGCUGUUAGAAUUCUCUGUAAGUGAUUUGGAAUCUGAGUGGGAGUCUCUUUGGAUUUCAUUUCUGCUUGCUCCACCUUCCAAAGGCCCAGAUUAAAUCAAAGGGUCUGCCAUAAGGAUCUUGGAACAUUCAGGACAUGAGUCCUAAUCACAGCUCAUCAUCUUCAGAUAUGGAAUCUAGAUAAUCUGUGUCAACAUAUAGGAGAAAUCCGGAGAACAAGCUGUCUGCCCAACCUGGGUCUGAGAAGAGGCCGUUCUGGUCAGUGAAGAAGAUCUCCAGCCACACUUCAUCUUCUGGCUGCAGAUAGAUGACCGUGGACCCAGAAGCGACGUCAUGGUUCCCUGUGUUGGCGUCGAAUGUCUUUAUCUUGUACUGCCCGUUGUGAACUAGCCCAAUUGCCAGAUGCUUAUUUGCCAAUGUGAUAUCAUAAGAAAAGUAAUAGAUCCCUGGGAAGGCACAGAUGAACUUCCCUGUGGCAGGGUUGUAGUGCUCUCCCUCAUUGAAGAGGACCUUGUUAAAUAUAAUUGGUAGCCUUUCUUCUGGGUAGCUGGUAGUGAUGCCAACAGAAAAGGCAGAUUUGAGCACAAUGCUUCCGCAUCUACAAACUCCAGGCAGCCCUGGGUCCCCUUGCUCUCCUCUGUCUCCCUUUGCUCCAGGAGGCCCAGCUGGACCUACUUCUCCUUUUUCUCCCUCUGGUCCCAUGGGUCCUUUCUUCCCAGUCUCUCCUUGGUCCCCUUUCUCUCCAACAAGGCCCAGUGGUCCAGUCUUACCUCUCAAACCUUUAAAAAGAGUUUACAAUUUAGUUGAUAGUUCCUCCAUAUAUACAGUCACAAACAGCAUGCCCCACAAAGUGCCAGGACACCCUAGAUGUGUCUCUCCAAUCAACUUUCAAGAGUACACUACUAAAUACUAAUGCAUCUUUAAAAAAAAUCACUGAUGGAUCAAAACGGAAAUAGAAAAUUUUCAUCAGAAUUUCAGGUGGGGAGACUGAGCCACAGAGAAGUUAGUUUGCUCAAGAAAAUGGGUAGUAAGUGAUGGAGCUGUGACCUGAACUCACGCCUGCCUGACUCUGGAGCUUGAGCAUCCCCCCGAGGCAGGUGCUGGAGUGUACAUUGUAGAGUGCACCAGCACGUAGUGAGGGCUCUCAAUAUGCUAUGAUAACCAAACAACAGUGAGGGCCACCCCUAUGUGGUAGUCCUUUUUUGGAGGAGAAAAUUGAAUCCCAGAGAGGGGAAGAAACUUGCUUCUGUAGCAAGGUUAAGACUGGAAUCCGAGUCCUAGUGUAAUGAUGCUUCCCCUUCAUCAAAGUGCCUCUUACCUUUGGGGCUGGAAUCAAGAAUCCUAAAGUCUGUUUGGCUUUGCAGCUAAAUGGUUGUAUCAUUUUAGGCAAGUCCCUUAAUUUCUCUGGGUCUCCUUAUAUAUAGAAAAGACAUAAUAUCUGUGAAAGGAUUUCAACAAAUUCAAAAUCACCACAGUGAAAUAUUUUCUGUUUGUCUAAAUCUUUAUACCUACAGAUCAACCACAGGCUAAAUGCAGAGAAAUUAUGAUCAUUGGUUGAAACGGAUAAGCAACAUCUAUUCAAUUUUUAAACCAUAUAUAUAAUAUAUGUAAUGUAUAUUAUAUAUUAUAAAAAUAUAUUAUACAUAUGUUUUACAUAUAUAAUACAUAAUAUGUAUUAUAUUAUAUAAAAUAUUUAAUUAAAAUAUUAAUUCACAAAAUAUGAAAUGUCAUUUAAUUUUUAUGGUCAAAUCCAUUCUGUAAAUAAUGCUUGUAUAAUGAUAUACCCUCAAAAAUAUCCAAAUUAUUGGUAAUUUAUCAUGGCUUCUGUAGUCAGGGAAAAUAUAUUAUUGGUAUACUGUGUGGUUAUCUACAUACUCUUAACUAUGUAUUUGUUCUCGGGAACUUUUAUUAAGCUAAACCUUUUUAUCUUGAUAGUGCUCUGGUAUCAUUUAUUUGAAUAUUACAUGUAUAUCAGUGCUUGAGCUUAAUAAUUUUUCAGUUAUUUGGCAAAUGUAGGAAAGAAAUAUUCUGAAUAAUGCAAAUUUGGGGAGAAUUAAUGCUAUACCCUUAAAACGUACAGUAUUUUGUUUUAGUAAUUUUGGAAAGAGGUUUUUUAACAAUUUAUGAUGCACAGAAGAAUCUAAUAAUGAAAGAAACCCUUUUUGGUGACUGGUAUCAGUGUUAUUACUGAUCAUAGAACUCUCCUCAAGUUCUAGGUGGCUUUUGUUGUGAAGUUGAAAUUCCACUGGUCCCAGCCAGAGUAUAGUCUGUGUUUAUUUCUUGAAAUAGUCUGAACUUUUGCUUCUUUUUGGUAGGAAUAAGAUAUGAAUACUAUCUUACUGUUGAAUUUAUUUAUGAAUCGAGGACCACAACUUCUAAAUUGUUAUUUUUAUUUUCAAUAGGAGCUUAACUUCUGCUGUCUCCCUGAGUGGCCUUUGAUAUAUUAAUAAAAAACUUUUUGGUAUCAACAACAAUUUCAACUAUUAUGUACUCCAGUCCUCCUGCUUUUGUGACUUUGGGCAAGUCACUUCUUGUUUGUGUUUCCAAUGCUCCAUUUGUAAUAUGAAGAAUUAGAUUUAAGUCCAAUCUCAGUGUUUGGAUUUUCUAUGGUUAUUGAAUUAGAUAAUCAGGGAUUAGCUAUAAUAACUUGAAGUAAUUCUUCCUGUUUGCAUGAAGGAUUUGCACUUGUGCUAAGGACCAAUUAAUGAAUAAUGGAAUGAAGGGAUACAUCACUCUACCUUUUCCUAUUCAGGCCUAUGCUUGGGUAGAGAGGAGAAUUAAUGGAGUAGUUGUUAGUCUACGCUUAGGUACUGACACUUGGAGAAAGGAAUUCUUAGUUCUCUAGGAAAUGGGCUUAAGAAGAUUUCUUCUUCAGUACUAUUUCUUUCUCCCAUCCGUCCAUCCAUCCAUCCAUCCAUCCAUUCACAGAUUUAUAUGUGCAUGUAUACAUACAUCUAAACCAUGUAAUAUUUUUUGACCAUCCAUUACAUGCUAGGCACUAUGCAAGGGGCUGAGUGGGACCUUGACAUGAAUGACCCCUGUCCUACCCUCAAGUUAGCUGUUACUAUGUAUUAUACUGUGAUCUGCAAAUAUGUUCAUGAAUAUCUAAAGCCAUUUAAUAAAGUAGAGUGAUCUGUUUCAUAAGCUGGUUCUAAUGUUAUUUUAUCUAUAAGGAUGUGCAUUCAGAUUAAAUUAACUUGUGAUAUUAGGCUACAAGACUAAUUGCUAUAGACCAGUGAGGGAGGCAGAUAUUUUUAAAAGAACGUUUCUAAUUUGGUAUAAUAAGUUCUGUGCUUGUAAUUUAAGGUAAAGAAGUUGGACAAAACUAUGCUUGAUUGUGCUUGCCCUUGAUUGGAUGAAUGUGAAGGGGAUGUUUACCACGAGUAUAUGAAUGAGAAGACAUUUGUGGUAUCAUUCAAGGGGACAGAAGAAUCAAAGGACACAUUGUGUCCAGUUUCAGCUGCAUUAAAAGCUUGUCCCCAAAGCCCCAGAGCUCCAUUUCUAUUGUUCGUAAAUGGGGUGUGUUUUUCUUCAUUGAACAUACAGACAUUCCUAACUUUCUUGGCUCUUACAUGUCCUUUAUGUGUAUUUGUGUAUAUUGGAUUUAAGUCAUCUCAGGUUAGGGAAGUUAUUUUAUUUGUGAAUCUCAAUGUUUUCACUGUAACAUUGUAAUUGUUGAUUGUAAUGAUUUAUAACAGGGUUAUGGUAGAUGAUAAGUACUAAAUGUAAAAUUCCUGACAUAGUAAGCUCUUAAUAAAUGGUUACAAUGAUGAUGAUGAA
Long non-coding RNA from Mustela lutreola (European mink), 6788 nucleotides. RefSeq lists it as uncharacterized. The transcript has 3 exons. The record is from RefSeq and is a predicted model, not a curated record. Lineage: Eukaryota; Metazoa; Chordata; Mammalia; Carnivora; Mustelidae.